Molecule: transfer RNA, 76 nt
Filed under: Aeromonas sp.
Lineage: Bacteria; Pseudomonadati; Pseudomonadota; Gammaproteobacteria; Aeromonadales; Aeromonadaceae
Also listed under: 2 other names
Description: tRNA-His
Rfam family: tRNA
About the family: Transfer RNA (tRNA) molecules are approximately 80 nucleotides in length. Their secondary structure includes four short double-helical elements and three loops (D, anti-codon, and T loops).
Source: RNAcentral
GCGGACAUAGCUCAGUUGGUAGAGCCCCGGAUUGUGAUUCCGGUUGUCGUGGGUUCGAGCCCCAUUGUUCGCCCCA